This 440-nucleotide ribosomal RNA is filed under the name uncultured bacterium. RNAcentral's name for it is "partial 16S ribosomal RNA". It matches the Rfam family "Bacterial small subunit ribosomal RNA", at positions 338 to 795 of the family's 1533-position model. The record is from RNAcentral.
CCUACGGGGGGCUGCAGUAGGGAAUAUUGCUCAAUGGGGGAAACCCUGAAGCAGCAACGCCGCGUGGAGGAUGAAGGUUUUAGGAUUGUAAAAUCCUUUUGUUAGAGAAGAUAAUGACGGUAUCUAACGAAUAAGCAACGGCUAACUCCGUGCCAGCAGCCGCGGUAAUACGGAGGGUGCCAGCGUUACUCGGAAUCACUGGGCGUAAAGAGCGCGUAGGCGGGAUAGCAAGUCAGAUGUGAAAUCCUAUGGCUUAACCAUAGAACUGCAUUUGAAACUGUUAUGCUAGAGUAUGGGAGAGGUAGGUGGAAUUCGUGGUGUAGGGGUGAAAUGCGUAGAUAUCAAGAGGAAUACGGAUUGCGAAGGCGGCCUGCUAGAACAUAACUGACGCUGAUGCACGAAAGCGUGGGGAGCAAACAGGAUUAGAUACCCUUGUAGUC